Molecule: ribosomal RNA, 481 nt
Filed under: uncultured bacterium
Lineage: Bacteria
Description: bacterial SSU rRNA
Rfam family: Bacterial small subunit ribosomal RNA
Source: RNAcentral
CUACGUGCCAGCAGCCGCGGUAAUACGUAGGUCUCAAGCGUUGUCCGGAUUUACUGGGCGUAAAGUGUCCGUAGUCUGAAUUGUAAGUCUGUUUUCAAAUCCUACGACUCAAUCGUAGAAAGGGAGUGGAUACUGCAAUUCUGGAAGUAUCUGGGGGUUAGUGGAAUUUCCGGUGGAGCGGUGAAAUGCGUUGAUAUCGGAAGGAACGCCGAAAGCGAAAGCAGCUAACUACAGAAUACUUGACGAUGAGGGACGACAGUUCGGGUAGCAAACAGGAUUAGAUACCCUGGUAGUCCGCACAGUAAACGAUGGAUGCCCGCUGUUGGUACCUGGUAUCAGCGGCUAAGCGAAAGCAUUAAGCAUCCCACCUGGGGAGUACGCCGGCAACGGUGAAACUCAAAGGAAUUGACGGGGGCCCGCACAAGCGGAGGAGCAUGUGGUUUAAUUCGAUGAUACGCGAGGAACCUUACCCGGGAUUGAA